AGGUUUCCUGCAGAAAAUCAUGGGAAGCUUUUGAGCAGGGGAGUCAGAAGAUGAGCGGACCUGGAAGGCCUGGAAGCAUCUGGAGAAGGGCAUGGCUGUGAGUAGAGAAACAGAGGAUACAGGCUAAAGCAGGAGGAAGCGAGAGGACUCACGGAAAGCCUUGCUGCACUCUCCAAAAGAGCUGCCCUUUUCACGUGAAGAGCUAUGUGAUCGGAUCCCCGGUUUGGCAGAGUAGACAUGCGAGAAGACUGAACGUUUCAUCGUUGAAACCUCUUAAAGGUGGAAUGUGUGGCAGAAAGAACGUCUGAGAAGCUCACGCGAUUUGCAGAAGGAACAUUUGUAGAAGAUUCCCUGUUUUCCGAAGGAAUGUCAAGUUCCAAAGGACACAUAUUGCUUGUCUCUGAACUUCUCAGCUGCCUGCAGAUCUUCCUGUUUUUCAGCUGCAGUUAGGGUUUGUCUGAGGAGAAGCAUAACAUCCCUCCAGGCCAAAUGCUCCACAAAUAAAUGUGUUGAAUGAAUGAACAAAUGAAUAAGCGAAGUGAAUGGAACAUCAAACUGCAUAAAAAUAUAUUUAUUCAUAAAUGAGAGGUGAUGAUUGCCAACAUAUCAUAAUCAGACUCUGACCUUGGUUACUUAUGAGUUUGACAACGAAGAGGAAAGAGGAUCAGAAUGGAUCUACAUUUGUCCUGUGUCAAUGGCUAUCCAGAAGCGGUAACUUUGCUGGUGCACAGAAAGUGCCAGCUUAACGUGUGUGACGGUGAAAACACGACACCUCUGAUGAAGAUAUAUAGUAGCCAGUUAUUUCAGCAUGAGAUGGAUUUGGUUUAAAUACAUAGAAUAAAAAUGGAUUUAUUUCAUUGAAAUGUAACUAAUUUGUGAACCUAUGGAAUAUUUAUUUGUAUUUUCUAGAAUUUACAAUGUGUUUCUUGGUCUAAUACUGACAGGCUAUACAAUGCCAAGAAGAUGUUUAUGCAACUAUUCUGCUGGACUUUGGUGCCUAUCCAGAUAUUACAGAUAUCAACAGAAAAACUGCUCUCCACUGUGCUGUCUAUAGUGAGAAUAUGUCAGUGGUGGCAAAACUGCUUUCACACAACACAAACAUCUAAGUGAAAAAUGGAGUAGAGAAUAACCAACAUUAUUUUCAAAAUAUUUGAAAUCCAUUUGCUUUAACACUGACAUGCGUUAGGGUCAGUUUUUCAUAUUUGGAAGCUCAAGCAUGCUCUUCUGUGAAUGAAAAUAUUCUGAAGUAACUGUCUAAUAAUUUAAAUAUUAAUGUUUUUAAAGAAGUAUUAGACGGUAUAGCUUUCUUUCAUGCAUUUAUGAUAAAUAUUUAAAUUUAUUAAAGGUAAAAGUUUGUUUUUCAAAUAUUUUAGCCACUCAAGUUUUUGUUCUUUCUAAUUAGUGUAAAACAACACAGAAAAGCAAAAUGUGCCUGCAUAAACUGAGUCAACAUGUAAACCUUUUGAUAUUUAUUAUUAAAUAAGUUAUUUGGCAAUGUAUCAAAUUUUUAAAUGUGUGUCCCUUUUGACCUAGAAAUUCUACUCCCAGGAAUUUCUCCUAAGAAGAUAAUCAGAAAAGUUUACAAAGAUGAAUAGAAAAGAAGAGUCACUGCAGCCUUAUUUGUAAAAGUGAAAAAUAGCAACAGCCCAAAUGUCAUGAAUGGAGAAUUAAUAUAUGGUGCAUCCAUACAAAAAUACUGUGCAGCGAGUAAGCCAAUGAAGCCCAAAAUUUCUGACAUGGACAUUGACAUAGCAGAGUGACAAUAACGAGGUUAUAAAACAUCAUCAGUGAAAGGUCUAUUUGUACAAAUUAAUUUUUUGAGUGUAUACUUAGG
RNAcentral lists this long non-coding RNA (1834 nucleotides) under Homo sapiens (human). RNAcentral describes it as "HSALNT0346954". The record is from RNAcentral. Lineage: Eukaryota; Metazoa; Chordata; Mammalia; Primates; Hominidae.